Molecule: ribosomal RNA, 1031 nt
Filed under: Salmonella enterica subsp. enterica serovar Mbandaka
Lineage: Bacteria; Pseudomonadati; Pseudomonadota; Gammaproteobacteria; Enterobacterales; Enterobacteriaceae
Also listed under: 1 other name
Description: partial 23S ribosomal RNA
Rfam family: Bacterial large subunit ribosomal RNA
Source: RNAcentral
CGUAUCACCCAAGACAACUUUACGGAGUUGACGAUUGACGGAGCGAAGCGACGUCAAAGCGUUCAUUAAAGUCGAGUUGGCUUAGGGAUACGUUCGUUGGGUAGGGGAGCGUUCUGUAAGCCUGUGAAGGUGGCCUGUGAGGGUUGCUGGAGGUAUCAGAAGUGCGAAUGCUGACAUAAGUAACGAUAAAGCGGGUGAAAAGCCCGCUCGCCGGAAGACCAAGGGUUCCUGUCCAACGUUAAUCGGGGCAGGGUGAGUCGACCCCUAAGGCGAGGCCGAAAGGCGUAGUCGAUGGGAAACGGGUUAAUAUUCCCGUACUUGGUGUUACUGCGAAGGGGGGACGGAGAAGGCUAUGUUGGCCGGGCGACGGUUGUCCCGGUUUAAGCGUGUAGGUGUGUGUUCCAGGUAAAUCCGGUUCACUUUAACACUGAGGCGUGACGACGAGGCACUACGGUGCUGAAGCAACAAAUGCCCUGCUUCCAGGAAAAGCCUCUAAGCAUCAGGUAACAUCAAAUCGUACCCCAAACCGACACAGGUGGUCAGGUAGAGAAUACCAAGGCGCUUGAGAGAACUCGGGUGAAGGAACUAGGCAAAAUGGUGCCGUAACUUCGGGAGAAGGCACGCUGACACGUAGGUGAAGUGAUUUACUCAUGGAGCUGAAGUCAGUCGAAGAUACCAGCUGGCUGCAACUGUUUAUUAAAAACACAGCACUGUGCAAACACGAAAGUGGACGUAUACGGUGUGACGCCUGCCCGGUGCCGGAAGGUUAAUUGAUGGGGUCAGCGCAAGCGAAGCUCCUGAUCGAAGCCCCGGUAAACGGCGGCCGUAACUAUAACGGUCCUAAGGUAGCGAAAUUCCUUGUCGGGUAAGUUCCGACCUGCACGAAUGGCGUAAUGAUGGCCAGGCUGUCUCCACCCGAGACUCAGUGAAAUUGAACUCGCUGUGAAGAUGCAGUGUACCCGCGGCAAGACGGAAAGACCCCGUGAACCUUUACUAUAGCUUGACACUGAACAUUGAGCCUUGAUGUGUAG